Molecule: long non-coding RNA, 2789 nt
Organism: Gallus gallus (chicken)
Lineage: Eukaryota; Metazoa; Chordata; Aves; Galliformes; Phasianidae
Source: Ensembl
UUUUAAGGCUAGUGAAAUAAUCCUCCUCCUUUCAGAGGAGGGCCACAGAUAAAUGAUCUGAGAUGGAAUAUCCCUAGGAAGACAGGCUGAGAGAGCUCGAUUUGUUCAACCUGGAGGAGAGAAGGCUCCAGGGAGACCUUUCAGUGGCCUUUCAGUAUCUAAAGGGAAAAGAAAAGAUUAAAGCAGACCUUUGACAGGCAGUGGAGAGAGAAAUACAGAGAGAGAAGAGUCUGACCCUCUCCUCACUACAGCCUCCUUUCAGGUAGUUUUAGGGAGAGAUAAGUUCUCCCUUGGGCCUCAUUCUCUCCAGACCAUGAGGUAAGAAAAUUGCAAGAGAGAAAAUGUACUUUGGAAAACAAUUACUGCUGCAGGCUAGAAAGUAUCAGCACAAUGUGAAUGUACUGCAGAUUUCUUUCCCUGACUGAAUUUUGAUCUGUUUCCAGUAUUUCAUAUUCCUCCAGACCACAUAUUAGAGAAGAGAGAGAAGAAGCAAACAAGCAAACAAAAGAAAUCCCUACACCAGUUGGUGUGAAAAUGAGGUUGGAUAUUAAUCUACUUGAAUGUUUCAUAAAACCUAAUGCCAGAUAGGAUUUAAUAUUUUUAAACAUCUGGAAUUAAUAUCUCUGUAAAAUUUCAGUUUAUUCUUAAAAAAUGGGAAAUAUCUACUGGGGAAUCCUUGCUUUGAAACUCCCACCUCUGGAAGCAGUCAUACCAUCUAACUAUAGGCAUCUAUAUGUGCCAAAGUUAGAACAUCUUUCUUUGGAUCACAGUAGCUGUACGGAGAUGAAUUGACUCAUUGGUUGUGAAUACAUGUGCUUUGGGCUCAAGCAGUUCAUCACAUGUUGGAAUAGCUGACUUUUCUCUGUUUAUGCACUGGGAGAUAAAAUGGAGAGUUGUGCAACCUAGUGUGGACUACUGAAUUUGAUGUCUGUGGUAAGGGGGCGUGGACAGACUUGUUUAUUGAUAUGAAUGGGGUUCAUCAGAUGGUCUGCAAACAUCUGCACGUGGCCUGGCCUGGUCAUCUCUACUGCUUGCAUACCUCAUCACAAUGGGAUGUCUGAAAGUGAACACAAUUUUUUCUGCUGAAGUGCUCUGUUUCUCCAGUGACUACAUCAGGAUUUUAAGUUAUUUUAAAUUCAGAGACAGAUUUUUUAUGAUGGGGACCUCUAAAGUUAAAUAAUACAAAGUUCAUCCUGUAUAUCUGGCAUUGAGCUCUUCAGUUAAUUCUUAGUAAUUCUUUGUUAGCUAGUUUACAGACAGAGUCAUCUAAUCAGAAACAUGAUUCCUAAAACAGUUAUUUAUCAGAUGUGAUAUUUUCAAUAUUUAAUGAUCUGUGCCGAACAACAUGGGUUAACCUUUUCUACUUCCACUGUGAGAACAAGAUUUUGAAACUGCACAUCCAUUAACAGCUCAGUGAUUAAUAUAUACUAGACUUGUUUUCGAUAAUUAUAGAUCAUCAGAAAAAAAAGCCAGCAUAAUUUCUGAAAUAACUAUAUGAGAGCUUCAUUCAUCUACUCACACAGAAAGCUAAUAUUAACUAAUGUAAUCCAUGGAUUUCUUUAAAGUAAAAUUUAUCAAAUUUGGAUAUGAAAAUGGGAGCAUAACAUCCAUAUUCAGAAAACUAAAUGAUUUAUUUAAGUGCUUAGAAAAUUAGAAAAUCUGCUUUCCAUAAUGGCUGCUGCCAAUUACAUACAUAUCCAGUGGGUAUGCAUAGGGUCUGAAAAUUCUCCUGUCUGUGCUGGGGAACUGACCUCAGUCCAUUGAAGCAACACCAAACAGAGAAAGAUUUUCAGGUAGGCAAUGGAAAUCAUUUCCAUCUCUGUAGAUGCCUCCAUAAGCAGACAGGUCAGAAAACUUUAACCUCAACUAUUGGAGUAAUGCACUUAAUGCCUUAAUGUAAGGCACUUUAGAGCUCUCUGUGGUCUGUUACAGUAAUGAAGAUUGCUGGUAACAUUUAAUAUCUUCAGUAAAACAUUCAAUCUCUGUGGAACUGUAAUUGUGCAUAAAAGGCUAGAGAAUGAAAGAACACAGCGCAUACCUCCAGCAAGUGAAAUCAACUUAAGUUUGUUAGAGGUAAUGGAAAAAAAAAAGGUAGAGCAAUGUACUGCACUUUGCUUCCAGGAGUACCUUGCUUACGUGUGAUCUCUCACCAAAAAGGGAGGGUCUUGGAACAUUCUGCCAAAGGGAAAAUUUCAUAAGUAGCACUACUGCUAUCACUGCAGUAUAAAGCAAUCAUUAUUUCAUACUACACAGACAUAUUAUGAUGUAGUUUAGACUUUGGAAUUACAAAGAAAACACUAUAUUUGCAGGCAUUUCUGUGGCCUUCUGCCAUAAACCACUUUUUUAUAUCACGGGAGCUUUAUAUCAUUUUCACAACAUUUGAUUUACGCUUGUUGAUUAUUUGCAUUAAAUUUACUAAUCCAGUUCAUAUGUAAAUUAGAAGCACAAUCUCCCUCAUUUCUUUUUGUCAGGUCAGAAAGUAUUUCCCAACUAUCUCUACAAGGGCUUCUCUGGAAGUAAUGCAUCCUAUUUUAUUAUCUCGACCCACAACAUCAGAGGUGGAUGCUGGUGAUAUGGGAGUAGAAACUGAACUUUCCCACCAAUAUUCCAUUACAUUUUUUGCCAUAUGACAGAAGGCAGCAGAGGGGCAGUGUGACAGAAUGACUUGGAAGUGUGUAUGGCACAAAGUUGUGUCACUGAAUUCCUCCAUGCAGAAAACAGUGCACCCAAUGACUUUCAUCAGUGCUUGCUGAAUGCUUAUGGAGACCAAACAGUGGAUGUCAUUGCAG